RNAcentral lists this ribosomal RNA (410 nucleotides) under uncultured Flavobacteriia bacterium. RNAcentral describes it as "bacterial SSU rRNA". It matches the Rfam family "Bacterial small subunit ribosomal RNA", at positions 370 to 779 of the family's 1533-position model. Lineage: Bacteria; Pseudomonadati; Bacteroidota; Flavobacteriia. The record is from RNAcentral.
AAUGGAGGAAACUCUGAUCCAGCCAUGCCGCGUGCAGGAUGAAUGCCUAUGGGUUGUAAACUGCUUUUAUACAGGAAGAACAUUUCCACGUGUGGAAACUUGACGGUACUGUAAGAAUAAGGAUCGGCUAACUCCGUGCCAGCAGCCGCGGUAAUACGGAGGAUCCAAGCGUUAUCCGGAAUUAUUGGGUUUAAAGGGUCCGUAGGUGGUUAUUUAAGUCAGAGGUGAAAUCCUGCCGCUUAACGGUAGAACUGCCUUUGAUACUGAUUAACUUGAGUUAUUGUGAAGUAGUUAGAAUAUGUAGUGUAGCGGUGAAAUGCAUAGAUAUUACAUAGAAUACCGAUUGUGAAGGCAGAUUACUAACAAUAUACUGACACUGAGGGACGAAAGCGUGGGUAGCGAACAGGAUU